This is a long non-coding RNA of Haliotis rubra (blacklip abalone), 163 nucleotides long. RefSeq lists it as uncharacterized. The transcript is spliced from 3 exons. The record is from RefSeq and is a predicted model, not a curated record. NCBI's taxonomy places the organism in Eukaryota, Metazoa, Mollusca, Gastropoda, Lepetellida, Haliotidae.
CCCACUAACAACUGUGUGAUGCAAGAUGAUUGUCAAAAUUAAUGGUUUACAGUGAGUUAUCGCCCUCCAAAAGCAAGAAUGACACCCCACGCACAUGUAUGGGGCUACUCCGUUGUGCACGUGCAUCCCAUCCGUUGUGUUUUGAAAAAAGAGAAACGGUGGA